ACUGAACGCUGGCGGCAGGCCUAACACAUGCAAGUCGAGCGGAUGAAGGGAGCUUGCUCCUGGAUUCAGCGGCGGACGGGUGAGUAAUGCCUAGGAAUCUGCCUGGUAGUGGGGGAUAACGUCCGGAAACGGGCGCUAAUACCGCAUACGUCCUGAGGGAGAAAGUGGGGGAUCUUCGGACCUCACGCUAUCAGAUGAGCCUAGGUCGGAUUAGCUAGUUGGUGGGGUAAAGGCCUACCAAGGCGACGAUUCGUAACUGGUCUGAGAGGAUGAUCAGUCACACUGGAACUGAGACACGGUCCAGACUCCUACGGGAGGCAGCAGUGGGGAAUAUUGGACAAUGGGCGAAAGCCUGAUCCAGCCAUGCCGCGUGUGUGAAGAAGGUCUUCGGAUUGUAAAGCACUUUAAGUUGGGAGGAAGGGCAGUAAGUUAAUACCUUGCUGUUUUGACGUUACCAACAGAAUAAGCACCGGCUAACUUCGUG
Molecule: ribosomal RNA, 484 nt
Filed under: uncultured bacterium
Lineage: Bacteria
Description: partial 16S ribosomal RNA
Rfam family: Bacterial small subunit ribosomal RNA
Source: RNAcentral